This 1090-nucleotide ribosomal RNA is filed under the name uncultured bacterium. Its description in RNAcentral is "bacterial SSU rRNA". It matches the Rfam family "Bacterial small subunit ribosomal RNA", at positions 61 to 1153 of the family's 1533-position model. The record is from RNAcentral.
GUCGACGCUGAAGCCUGGUGCUUGCACCGGGUGGAUGAGUGGCGAACGGGUGAGUAACACGUGAGUAACCUGCCCCUGACUUCGGGAUAAGCCCGGGAAACUGGGUCUAAUACCGGAUACGACUGCCGGACGCAUGUCUGGUGGUGGAAAGUUUUUUCGGUUGGGGAUGGGCUCGCGGCCUAUCAGUUUGUUGGUGAGGUAAUGGCUCACCAAGACGACGACGGGUAGCCGGCCUGAGAGGGCGACCGGCCACACUGGGACUGAGACACGGCCCAGACUCCUACGGGAGGCAGCAGUGGGGAAUAUUGCACAAUGGGGGAAACCCUGAUGCAGCGACGCAGCGUGCGGGAUGACGGCCUUCGGGUUGUAAACCGCUUUCAGCAGGGAAGAAGCGCAAGUGACGGUACCUGCAGAAGAAGUACCGGCUAACUACGUGCCAGCAGCCGCGGUAAUACGUAGGGUACGAGCGUUGUCCGGAAUUAUUGGGCGUAAAGAGCUCGUAGGUGGUUGGUCACGUCUGCUGUGGAAACGCAACGCUUAACGUUGCGCGUGCAGUGGGUACGGGCUGACUAGAGUGCAGUAGGGGAGUCUGGAAUUCCUGGUGUAGCGGUGAAAUGCGCAGAUAUCAGGAGGAACACCGGUGGCGAAGGCGGGACUCUGGGCUGUAACUGACACUGAGGAGCGAAAGCAUGGGGAGCGAACAGGAUUAGAUACCCUGGUAGUCCAUGCCGUAAACGUUGGGCACUAGGUGGUGGGGGGGCAUUCCACGUUCUCCGCGCCGUAGCUAACGCAUUAAGUGCCCCGCCUGGGGGAGUACGGUCGCAAGGCUAAAACUCAAAGGAAUUGACGGGGGCCCGCACAAGCGGCGGAGCAUGCGGAUUAAUUCGAUGCAACGCGAAGAACCUUACCAAGGCUUGACAUACACCGGACCGUCCUGGAAACAGGUCCUCUUCUUUGAAGCUGGUGUACAGGUGGGUGCAUGGUUGUCGUCAGCUCGUGUCGUGAGAAGGUUGGGUUAAGUCCCGCAACGAGCGCAACCCUCGUUCUAUGUUGCCAGCAUGGGGAUGGUGGGAACUCAUAGGAGACUGCC